This is a non-coding RNA of Ornithorhynchus anatinus (platypus), 140 nucleotides long. The record is from Rfam. Lineage: Eukaryota; Metazoa; Chordata; Mammalia; Monotremata; Ornithorhynchidae.
CCCCUCUCAGGGUCACUCCUGGAGAGUUUCCUGUACUCUACCAGUCUCAACUACAGGAGGGAGAGUCAAGCAAAGGCAUACCCUUUCCAUUCCUAGCUUGGGCAAUGGCUAGCGAGUGGAAGGCAAUCUCUGCUACAAGU